Molecule: non-coding RNA, 48 nt
Filed under: Trypanosoma brucei brucei
Lineage: Eukaryota; Euglenozoa; Kinetoplastea; Trypanosomatida; Trypanosomatidae
Source: RNAcentral
AACAACAUCAAUAUUAUUUAAGAUGGUAACUAGAUUAUGUGAUAUAAU